CACGUAGGGCGCGAGCGUUGUCCGGAAUUAUUGGGCGUAAAGAGCUCGUAGGCGGCCUGUUGCGUCCGCUGUGAAAGCCCGGGGCUUAACCCCGGGUCUGCAGUGGAUACGGGCAGGCUAGAGGUAGGUAGGGGAGAAUGGAAUUCCCGGUGUAGCGGUGAAAUGCGCAGAUAUCGGGAGGAACACCAGUGGCGAAGGCGGUUCUCUGGGCCUUACCUGACGCUGAGGAGCGAAAGCGUGGGGAGCGAACAGG
Molecule: ribosomal RNA, 253 nt
Filed under: uncultured bacterium
Lineage: Bacteria
Description: partial 16S ribosomal RNA
Rfam family: Bacterial small subunit ribosomal RNA
Source: RNAcentral